Long non-coding RNA from Polypterus senegalus (gray bichir), 2311 nucleotides. RefSeq lists it as uncharacterized. NCBI's taxonomy places the organism in Eukaryota, Metazoa, Chordata, Cladistia, Polypteriformes, Polypteridae. The record is from RefSeq and is a predicted model, not a curated record. The transcript is spliced from 4 exons.
GAUUCCAGGAGGAAUGACAAAACCCUGUAAAUUGCCAUUGAAGAAUUGUUAUUUUGUUUAAGAAGUUUAAGAACAAACUGUUACAGUGGGUGUAAGAAAAGAAAAAGGAAGAAGGAGAGGGAGCAUGCAAACAUGACACUAAAUGGGUCCUUUGUAAGGUUAGUUGUAAAAAUCAAGAAGAAAAUGACACAUAUAGUGAUCACGAAGAAGAGGAUAACGGAAAAAAAACUGCCAGCAUUUCACAGGGAUUAACUGUGAUUUUUCACAACAAAAUACUGUAUUGAAAAAUGUACCUUAUAAUCAGUGGAGUUGUAAGGCAGUAUUUUCAUUUGUAUGGUACAAUGACAGUUAAAAGUGAAAUCCUGGCUACUGGGACACUGAAGGAAGUUUUUUUUUUGAUAUUGUAAAGUUUUCAUUCACACAGAGAGCUGCAGACAGAAAGAAUAAGUGACAAAAUAGUGAGGUGGACAGGAGAAAGACUUUAGGGACCAUCAAAACUGAAAUGGAUAUAAAAUUUGGGGUAAAAUAGGUGAAUACAAUUGUAGCAAUGCUACUAGUAGUUAGAACUGCAUCUCCCAGCAGUCCUUGCAUGGGCAGUUGGGGGUCAAAGGUGGCCAGUGGGGUUUAAAAGGAGGGCAGGUGUCAAAGAAAGAAGAAAAAAGUUUAUUUUGUUUUAUUGUGUGUUAACGUUUAUCUGUCGUGCUGCCUGCUGUUAUUUGUUGGGGUCUGGAUCGUCUUUCUACUUGUGCACUGAGGACUGUGUUGGAAUUCAUUGGCUUUCCCGGAAGAGAGGAGCGCUCCUGAACCGUCCAUCGAUCCGUCGUUAUCCUUUCAGCAGCUACCGAUAGGUCUUGGAAAGAAGGAAUGUCAGCCUUUCAGAUUCGAAGAGAUAUGGCUUCAAGUCAAUACCAGUCAGAAGCAGAGAAAAGAAAAAAAUGAAGGAAUGAAGAAGCAGCUUGUGCAGCAUUUGCAGGUUCUAAUUGCAGAAGACAUAGAGGGGAGCAGCAUGGAAUUGCUGGGGUGUAACUAUCAGCAACCACCAAAACUGAUCUGUGGUCUCCUUGAUGUUAAAUUUUACAGAGGAGAUUCUGCAACACACUCUUUAACCGGCUACAAAGAAAGUGUCAAAGAAAAUGCAAAGCUUCAGCUCGGUGGCAAACUUGUCAGUGCAAUUUCUGAUGAGUCUUAAAUGGGCUCUAUUAAUACAACAGAAGAAGUGCCUUUAGUUUUUCAUAGUGUGUGAGCAAUUUAAAUGUCAUUUAGCCUGUUUCAUCUGUUCAUUAUUGAAAUCUCUUUCUUCAACACUGUUACUGCUGAAGGACUUAAUAUAGCAAAUAUGGGUGCUAUGUGUCUUAGGUUUUGAAAUUUCAGAUUAAGUCUAUUGUAAUUAAUCAAGUAAUGCUAAUCUUGGUGUAAUUGCCCUUGGUUUCAGACCAGACAACAACAAAAUAAUGCUCAUCUUGUGAGGUUUCUUUCUAUCAGGAGCUCUGUCUACUGGUUUGUCCUUGUAGCAAAUCUUGGGACUGGAAGAGACAGAGUCAAAUGCCCUGACUGGGCAGUUUCUCGAUGCUGCAGGGAGAGAAGGAGAAGAUAAUGUUAGCAAUAGAGUUGUUCCAGCAGGUUAUUAAAUAGCAUGUGUGGCAGGCAGCCAGAACUCUUGCCCGGCCGGAAUGCCUAGAGUGUGGAAGGACUAGGGGAGAGAGUAUUUUUGGGACAGUUUCACUCCCGGGCCAAUAUAAGGCAGUCCCCUUGGUUUCCAGCAGGGCCACUGGUUAUGGGAGCUCAAACCUUUUGCCAGGGGACGCAUAGACCUUUUCAGGACCUUAUUUGGCCACACUUCUGCACCCGGAAGUGUGGUCAGAAGGAGCUCUUUGGGCACCUGGAGUUCUUCCGGGGGUCCUAUAAAAGGGGUCAGUUCCCACCAUUUAUGGGUCAGAGUCAGGAGGAAUAGGACAAAACCUGACAAGGAAUGAAGGGAGAAGUACUGGGGGCAAGGAAAGGAUUGAACUGUCUAUUGGGUGUCUGGUGAUUGGUGCACUGUGCUGUGACGAGCAGGGUUAAACGCUCCCCAAUUUUAAAUAAACGGUUGUGUGGCAAAAUCUGUCUCCUGCUUGUCUGUGUCCGGGUUAGUGCGGCUAUACAUGGCCUGGUGGCUUAACAUACGACAGAGACAAUAAGGAGGUGCUCUGAUGCUCAUGUGUGACAAUACAUACACACACACAUACAUUUUGAACACAUACAAUUUGACAGCUUUCGAAUACGCAACACCCGUCCCGGGACAGCCAUGGUCGGGAGCGUCAUCAACACAGGU